CAGCCGCCACGGGAAUACGAAGGGUGCAAGCGUUAAUCGGAAUUACUGGGCGUAAAGCGUGCGUAGGCGGUUUGUUAAGUCUGCUGUGAAAUCCCCGGGCUCAACCUGGGAAUGGCAGUGGAUACUGGCAAGCUAGAGUGUGUCAGAGGAUGGUGGAAUUCCCGGUGUAGCGGUGAAAUGCGUAGAGAUCGGGAGGAACAUCAGUGGCGAAGGCGGCCAUCUGGGACAACACUGACGCUGAGGCACGAAAGCGUGGGGAGCAAACAGGAUUAGAUACCCCAGUAGUCCCUGUCUCUUAUAA
This 301-nucleotide ribosomal RNA is filed under the name uncultured bacterium. RNAcentral's name for it is "partial 16S ribosomal RNA". It matches the Rfam family "Bacterial small subunit ribosomal RNA", at positions 509 to 809 of the family's 1533-position model. The record is from RNAcentral.